This 72-nucleotide transfer RNA is filed under the name Camelus bactrianus (Bactrian camel). It matches the Rfam family "tRNA". Rfam says of the family: Transfer RNA (tRNA) molecules are approximately 80 nucleotides in length. Their secondary structure includes four short double-helical elements and three loops (D, anti-codon, and T loops). RNAcentral also lists the same sequence under 2 other names. Lineage: Eukaryota; Metazoa; Chordata; Mammalia; Artiodactyla; Camelidae. The record is from Rfam by way of RNAcentral.
GAGAGGACAGCUCAGCAGUGGAGUGUGUGCUUAGCAUGCACAAGGUCCUGGGUUCAAUCCCCAGUACUGUCA